Molecule: small RNA, 75 nt
Filed under: Arabidopsis thaliana (thale cress)
Lineage: Eukaryota; Viridiplantae; Streptophyta; Magnoliopsida; Brassicales; Brassicaceae
Description: ATSL126820
Source: RNAcentral
UUUAUAAACCAUUGAUAGACUGAUAGUGAAAGAAAUUAGUCGACGAAAAAAAAAAAGGAAAAAAAAUCGACGACA